Molecule: ribosomal RNA, 263 nt
Filed under: uncultured archaeon
Lineage: Archaea
Description: partial 16S ribosomal RNA
Rfam family: Archaeal small subunit ribosomal RNA
Source: RNAcentral
AGUCACUGACAUUAGAUACCCGCGUAGUCCAGGGUGUAAACGCUGCAGACUUGGUGUUGGAAGCCCUUUUGGGGGCAUUCAGUGCCGGAGAGAAGUUGUUAAGUCUGCUACUUGGGAGUACGUCCGCAAGGAUGAAACUUAAGGAAUUGGCGGGGGAGCACCGCAACGGGAGGAGCGUGCGGUUUAAUUGGAUUCAACACCGUAAACUCACCAGGGAAGACUGUUACAUGAAGGCCGAGAUGAAGACUCUGCUAGAUUUUCAG